This 547-nucleotide ribosomal RNA is filed under the name uncultured bacterium. RNAcentral's name for it is "bacterial SSU rRNA". It matches the Rfam family "Bacterial small subunit ribosomal RNA", at positions 337 to 874 of the family's 1533-position model. The record is from RNAcentral.
UCCUACGGGGAAGCAGCAGUGGGGAAUUUUGGACAAUGGGGGCAACCCUGAUCCAGCCAUUCCGCGUGAGUGAAGAAGGCCUUCGGGUUGUAAAGCUCUUUCAGCCGGAACGAAACGGUACGCUUUAAUAUUGUGUGCUAAUGACGGUACCGGCAGAAGAAGCACCGGCUAACUACGUGCCAGCAGCCGCGGUAAUACGUAGGGUGCGAGCGUUAAUCGGAAUUACUGGGCGUAAAGCGUGCGCAGGCGGAUUGUUAAGCAAGACGUGAAAUCCCCGGGCUUAACCUGGGAAUGGCGUUUUGAACUGGCAGUCUAGAGUGUGUCAGAGGGGGGUGGAAUUCCACGUGUAGCAGUGAAAUGCGUAGAGAUGUGGAGGAACACCGAUGGCGAAGGCAGCCCCCUGGGAUAACACUGACGCUCAUGUACGAAAGCGUGGGGAGCAAACAGGAUUAGAUACCCUGGUAGUCCACGCCCUAAACGAUGUCAACUGGUUGUUGGGGGAGUGAAAUCCCUUAGUACACGAAGCUAACGCGUGAAGUGACCGCCU